RNAcentral lists this ribosomal RNA (356 nucleotides) under uncultured bacterium. Its description in RNAcentral is "partial 16S ribosomal RNA". It matches the Rfam family "Bacterial small subunit ribosomal RNA", at positions 338 to 691 of the family's 1533-position model. The record is from RNAcentral.
CCUACGGGUGGCAGCAGUGAGGAAUAUUGGUCAAUGGACGCAAGUCUGAACCAGCCAAGCCGCGUGCAGGAAGACGGCUCUAUGAGUUGUAAACUGCUUUUGUACGAGGGUAAACGCAGAUACGUGUAGCUGUCUGAAAGUAUCGGAAGAAUAAGGAUCGGCUAACUCCGUGCCAGCAGCCGCGGUAAUACGGAGGAUUCAAGCGUUAUCCGGAUUUAGUGGGGUUAAAGGGUGCGUAGGCGGUCGGAUAAGUUAUAGGUGAAAUCCCGCGGCUCAACUUCGGAAUUGCCUCUGAUACUGUUCUUCUAGAGCGUAGUUGCGGUAGGCGGAAUGUAUGGUGUAGCGGUGAAAUGCUU